AAGCURCGGCRGCUUAUACUGCAAGUCGAGGGGGAUUAGCUGGGUAGCAAUACUCGGCUAUGAGACCGGCAAACGGGUGCGGAACACGUACGCAACCUUCCCAAAACUGGUGAAUAGCCCUCCGAAAGGAGGAUUAAUACACCGUAACAUAAUGAAAUGGCAUCAUUUUAUUAUUAUAGCUCCGGCGGUUUUGGAUGGGCGUGCGCCUGAUUAGGUAGUUGGCGGGGUAACGGCCCACCAAGCCUGCGAUCAGUAACUGGUGUGAGAGCACGACCAGUCACACGGGCACUGAGACACGGGCCCGACUCCUACGGGAAGCAGCAGUAAGGAAUAUUGGUCAAUGGACGCAAGUCUGAACCAGCCAUGCCGCGUGAAGGAUGACGGCCCUCUGGGUUGUAAA
RNAcentral lists this ribosomal RNA (400 nucleotides) under uncultured bacterium. Its description in RNAcentral is "bacterial SSU rRNA". It matches the Rfam family "Bacterial small subunit ribosomal RNA", at positions 39 to 429 of the family's 1533-position model. The record is from RNAcentral.